AUCCUAACUCGGAGCACUUAUU
Molecule: microRNA, 22 nt
Filed under: Sarcophilus harrisii (Tasmanian devil)
Lineage: Eukaryota; Metazoa; Chordata; Mammalia; Dasyuromorphia; Dasyuridae
Description: Sha-Mir-430-o16_5p (mature (guide))
Source: RNAcentral